This 253-nucleotide ribosomal RNA is filed under the name uncultured bacterium. RNAcentral describes it as "partial 16S ribosomal RNA". It matches the Rfam family "Bacterial small subunit ribosomal RNA", at positions 524 to 776 of the family's 1533-position model. The record is from RNAcentral.
UACGUAGGUGGCAAGCGUUGUCCGGAAUUACUGGGCGUAAAGGGCGCGUAGGCGGUAGCACAAGUCAGCUGUGAAAUCUCCGGGCUUAACUCGGAAAGGUCAACUGAUACUGUGCGACUAGAGUGCAGAAGGGGCAACUGGAAUUCUCGGUGUAGCGGUGAAAUGCGUAGAUAUCGAGAGGAACACCUGCGGCGAAGGCGGGUUGCUGGGCUGACACUGACGCUGAGGCGCGAAAGCCAGGGGAGCGAACGGG